GCAUUAAUGGGGUAGUGGUAACCUGGGUCGUUGCCAUCUGCAUGUACAGUCGACCCGCCGGGGGUUCAAUUCCCCCUUAAUGCA
Mucidula mucida is the source of this 84-nucleotide non-coding RNA. Lineage: Eukaryota; Fungi; Basidiomycota; Agaricomycetes; Agaricales; Physalacriaceae. The record is from the annotation of a GenBank genome assembly.